This 873-nucleotide long non-coding RNA is filed under the name Mus musculus (house mouse). Its description in RNAcentral is "predicted gene, 26861". The record is from RNAcentral. Lineage: Eukaryota; Metazoa; Chordata; Mammalia; Rodentia; Muridae.
AGAUCUCAACAGUGGCACCUGCCCAACCUGCCAUUGUGCAAGUUUCUGCCACAUACUUUGAGAAGACACCUUCAAAGCUUAACAGGAGACCCUUUCAUCCUUACUUUAGAUGAACCUGAUAUUCUCAACCUGAGUGCUCUGGAUCUCAUCAUCCUGUAUAAAUCAUAAAUAAGUGCAGUACCAACAGAGGCCAGAAGAGGUUUCAAAUCUCUUGGAGCUACUGUUACAGGCUGUGGCAGGAGCUAUAUAGUCCAUUCUGGUCUCUAACUCCCCAUGUAGCUGAAGUUGACUCUAAACUUCUGAUUCCUGCCUUCACAGAUGAGGAUUGCGAUUAUGGGAUCUCUUUGCUACUGUGUGAACCAGGGUUGUGGGCCUGCACUCUUCUUCCUGUCUUGCAGAGGAGCAGAGGAAUUAUCAGCACACACCACCACCUCCUCUCCAUGGAUAUCUGGGGAACUGAACUCAUUUCCACAUGGUUGUAAAGCAAGCUCUUUACCUACUGAGCUAUCUGCCCAGGCUUUUGGGUUUUACUGCUGUGAAGAGACACCAUGACCAAGGCUAGUCUUAAGAAGGACAACAUUUGUGUCUGUCUUACAGAUUCAGAAGUACAGUCCAUUAUCAUCAAAUUGGAAGCAUGGCAGCAUCUAGGGACUCUCCAAAUCCUUUUGGCAGACCAAGCAUUCCUCCUUCCAGCCCGGGGAUCAGAUGUUCAAGCAAGUUAAAGUCAAUGAAGCUGUACUUGCCUCAGCUUACAUUCACCUCAUGUCAUAGAUGUCAAGACUUCACACACCUUUCCUCGCUGAAUUAAGUACCAGUUUUUCUUCUUUGCAGAAUAUAAAUAAUGUGUAGGAAUAAAUGGAGAAAAAAGCCGUC